CAGGACGAACGCUGGCGGUGUGCCUCAUACAUGCAAGUCGAACGAGAAGUACCUUCGGGUAAUGGAAAGUGGCGGACGGGUGAGCACAACAUAGGAAAUCUGCCCUAAAGCGGGGGACAACAGAGGGAAACUCCUGCUAAUACCCCAUAUGAGCUUAGUUGAAAUACUAAUCUUGAAAGAUUUAUCACUUUAGGAUGAGCCUGUGCCUGAUUAGCUGGUUGGUGGUGUAAUGGACUACCAAGGCGACGAUCAGUAGCUGGUUUGAGAGGAUGAUCAGCCACAAUGGGACUGAGACACGGCCCAUACUCCUACGGGAGGCAGCAGUAGGGAAUUUUGCGCAAGUACGGGGGGAAACCCUGACGCAGCAACACCGCGUGAAUGUUAAGCCCUUCGGGGUGUAAAGUUCUGUCAAUAGGGAAGAAUAAAUGACUGUACCUAUAAAGGAAGCACCGGCUAACUCCGUGCCAGCCGCCGC
Molecule: ribosomal RNA, 475 nt
Filed under: uncultured bacterium
Lineage: Bacteria
Description: bacterial SSU rRNA
Rfam family: Bacterial small subunit ribosomal RNA
Source: RNAcentral